Molecule: ribosomal RNA, 494 nt
Filed under: uncultured bacterium
Lineage: Bacteria
Description: partial 16S ribosomal RNA
Rfam family: Bacterial small subunit ribosomal RNA
Source: RNAcentral
GACGAACGCUGGCGGCGUGCCUAAUACAUGCAAGUAGAACGCUGAAGGAGGAGCUUGCUUCUCUGGAUGAGUUGCGAACGGGUGAGUAACGCGUAGGUAACCUGCCUGGUAGCGGGGGAUAACUAUUGGAAACGAUAGCUAAUACCGCAUAAUAGCAGUUGUUGCAUGACAACUGUUUGAAAGGUACAAUUGCACCACUACCAGAUGGACCUGCGUUGUAUUAGCUAGUUGGUGGGGUAACGGCUCACCAAGGCGACGAUACAUAGCCGACCUGAGAGGGUGAUCGGCCACACUGGGACUGAGACACGGCCCAGACUCCUACGGGAGGCAGCAGUAGGGAAUCUUCGGCAAUGGACGGAAGUCUGACCGAGCAACGCCGCGUGAGUGAAGAAGGUUUUCGGAUCGUAAAGCUCUGUUGUAAGAGAAGAACGAGUGUGAGAGUGGAAAGUUCACACUGUGACGGUAUCUUACCAGAAAGGGACGGCUAACUACGU